ACCAAACAACCCCACAUUACAACGCAGUGACACAAGGUGGCCAGACACCACACAGACUAGAGCAGAGAGAGGGGUGGCACAAGGUGGCCAGACACCACACAGACUAGAGCAGAGAGAGGGGUGACACAAGGUGGCCAGACACCACACAGACUAGAGCAGAGAGAGGGGUGACACAAGGUGGCCAGACACCACACAGACUAGAGCAGAGAGAGGGGUGACACAAGGUGGCCAGACACCACACAGACUAGAGCAGAGAGAGGGGUGACACAAGGUGGCCAGACACCACACAGACUAGAGCAGAGAGAGGGGUGACACAAGGUGGCCAGACACCACACAGACUAGAGCAGAGAGAGGGGUGACACAAGGUGGCCAGACACCACACAGACUAGAGCAGAGAGAGGGGUGACACAAGGUGGCCAGACACCACACAGACUAGAGCAGAGAGAGGGGUGACACAAGGUGGCCAGACACCACACAGACUAGAGCAGAGAGAGGGGUGACACAAGGUGGCCAGACACCACACAGACUAGAGCAGAGAGAGGGGUGACACAAGGUGGCCAGACACCACACAGACUAGAGCAGAGAGAGGGGUGACACAAGGUGGCCAGACACCACACAGACUAGAGCAGAGAGAGGGGUGACACAAGGUGGCCAGACGCCACACAGACUAGAGCAGAGAGAGGGGUGACACAAGGUGGCCAGACGCCACACAGACUAGAGCAGAGAGAGGGGUGACACAAGGUGGCCAGACGCCACACAGACUAGAGCAGAGAGAGGGGUGACACAAGGUGGCCAGACGCCACACAGACUAGAGCAGAGAGAGGGGUGACACAAGGUGGCCAGACGCCACACAGACUAGAGCAGAGAGAG
This is a long non-coding RNA of Oncorhynchus keta (chum salmon), 870 nucleotides long. RefSeq lists it as uncharacterized. The transcript is spliced from 3 exons. NCBI's taxonomy places the organism in Eukaryota, Metazoa, Chordata, Actinopteri, Salmoniformes, Salmonidae. The record is from RefSeq and is a predicted model, not a curated record.